CUCAAACUCAUGUGUAAACCCGUAGAGUUUGACAUUGGCAACACAUGUCUUGCUGUAUCGAUCUGAAUAUUCAUUUCUCCUACGGCAUGUGAGUGGUUCAUAUGCUGAGUUUGUGUUGCAUGCCACACUUGCCGCUGUCUAAGCAUCCUGUGCCGAAUGUCAUAAAUCAUAAAAGCAGACAAAAUAUUCGCCAGGCAUAAGAUAUGUCGCCGCACUAAGGACAAGCAGCCGAGCAACUCGAAUUCGAGAGGCAGGCAGAGCCCUGAGGCUGUGUGGCAGAGUCUUGCGAAAAUGCACGUGGAGUGCGUAGUUUUGCAUAUGCAACGGACGCAGGACGAACGCAUCAUAAAACAACAAGGACAACACACAGCGGCGCAUAGUUAUGAUUUAUGAUGAUGCAAACGGAACACAACACAACUCAAGUCGCAAGUCUCAAGUCGUGUAACAGCAGGACGAAGUGAGCUUAGGAUACUUGAGAGGCUGAUGCCUAGCAUGCGGUCGAUGAGUUGCCCUUUGACAGGGAAGACAUUCACCAUAACAAAUUAGCGAAGAAGAAAAGAGAGAGAGA
Molecule: long non-coding RNA, 568 nt
Organism: Drosophila albomicans
Lineage: Eukaryota; Metazoa; Arthropoda; Insecta; Diptera; Drosophilidae
Exons: 4
Source: RefSeq, a predicted model, not a curated record